Molecule: ribosomal RNA, 253 nt
Filed under: uncultured bacterium
Lineage: Bacteria
Description: partial 16S ribosomal RNA
Rfam family: Bacterial small subunit ribosomal RNA
Source: RNAcentral
UACGUAGGGUGCGAGCGUUGUCCGGAAUUAUUGGGCGUAAAGAGCUCGUAGGCGGUCUGUCGCGUCUGCCGUGAAAGUCCGGGGCUCAACUCCGGAUCUGCGGUGGGUACGGGCAGACUAGAGUGAUGUAGGGGAGACUGGAAUUCCUGGUGUAGCGGUGAAAUGCGCAGAUAUCAGGAGGAACACCGAUGGCGAAGGCAGGUCUCUGGGCAUUAACUGACGCUGAGGAGCGAAAGCAUGGGGAGCGAACAGG